This 72-nucleotide transfer RNA is filed under the name Toxocara canis (dog roundworm). It matches the Rfam family "tRNA". From Rfam's summary of the family: Transfer RNA (tRNA) molecules are approximately 80 nucleotides in length. Their secondary structure includes four short double-helical elements and three loops (D, anti-codon, and T loops). The record is from Rfam by way of RNAcentral. Lineage: Eukaryota; Metazoa; Nematoda; Chromadorea; Rhabditida; Toxocaridae.
GGUCCCAUGGUGUGGCGGUUAGCACUCAGGACUCUGAAUACUGCGACGGGAGUUCAAAUCUCCCUGCGAUCU